UGUUGCUUUUAGUUUGUUAUUACGUUAUGUUUGUUUUUUGGCUUAAUUUAAAUGUUUGGGAACUUGUGGUUCUGAAUGAAAAUGUGGGUUUGUGGUAUUUUAGCUCAAAGUCUCUUAUUUUGCAAGCUCUGGUUUCAAAUGCAAUCUCUGGUUUUUGAAGAUAGUAUAAAGGUGGGCAAAGGAGAAGGGCAAUUGAAAAGAUCGAAGAAGGAAGUUCAAUUUAUCAAGAUCAAGUUUUGGAGUAGCAGACACCACGCCACCUUCGAUUUGAGUACGUGUCUGAGAGAUGUCAAACAAGGACUUUGAAAAUUACCUUGAUGAUAAAGCUAAUUGGCCAAAACCAAUUUGAAUGUUAGAAUGCAAUCAAGGAAUGAUACUUUGUUUCAACAAUUUGAAGACAAUGAUGUUGAUGUGGUAGAUGAAGAAAGCUCGGGGGCGAAUCAAGAAGGGGAAAACAUGCAUUUGAAUGACGACAAUGUUAUGAAUGAUGUUAGAGACCACAUAGCUGGAUUUUGAUUAUUGAGCAUAUAUGUGUUGUAUUAGCACAUGGAUAUCAAAAUAGUAUGUCUAAGGUUUAAUUUCA
This is a long non-coding RNA of Malus domestica (apple), 583 nucleotides long. RefSeq lists it as uncharacterized. The record is from RefSeq and is a predicted model, not a curated record. NCBI's taxonomy places the organism in Eukaryota, Viridiplantae, Streptophyta, Magnoliopsida, Rosales, Rosaceae.